This 265-nucleotide long non-coding RNA is filed under the name Mus pahari (shrew mouse). RNAcentral describes it as "predicted gene 43690 (MGP_PahariEiJ_G0005408.1)". Lineage: Eukaryota; Metazoa; Chordata; Mammalia; Rodentia; Muridae. The record is from RNAcentral.
CGUGCAGCCAAAGGACCGGAUCCAUGUUCCCUGAUGUGGCUGGUUGGCUCUCAGAGCUUUGGUUUGCCUGGGCUGAGACCAAAGACCACAAUAAAAGGCUUUGGUCUUGGGCCCAGAGCUUUCUCAGAGCUCUCAAAGUCCUGCCCAACCAUGUCUCUGCUUUCUCCUACAUGGAAAUACCAAAAUACUUGGUUUGGAAGCAUAAAAAUGAUUAAAUGCCACCAAGCUUACCCCAAAACAAACUGAUUAAAUGCUCCCAAGUCCG